Molecule: long non-coding RNA, 945 nt
Filed under: Equus caballus (horse)
Lineage: Eukaryota; Metazoa; Chordata; Mammalia; Perissodactyla; Equidae
Description: lncRNA (ENSECAG00000051507.1)
Source: RNAcentral
GAGGCUCAGACCCCAAGUUUGGGGGCUGCCUCUUCAGGAGCGAGAAGCUGGACCUGUAGCAGUUGACUGUGAGGUCAACUCCUCCUGCCGUCUUGAGCGACAUCCCUUGUCAAUGCUCAUUUUCUCUCCCUCCACCUGCGGUGUCAGAGUUCACACAUUGCACCUGCCCUCCUGGAGAUGUGACAUCAUUUUGAGAAAAGGGCCUUUUGUUUCUUAACUAGGCCAAGUCAUCCCUACCGUAGGGCCUUUGCACAUACCACACCUUCUUCCUGGAAUACUCUUUCCCUUUAUCUUUGCGUGGUUAUCUUCUCAUUCUGCUCUAGCAUAAAUGUCACCUCCUCAGGGAGGCCUUCCCAAACCACCCCAAGUAUAGUAGUCCCUGCCCUGUUCCCUCCAGUCAUACACAUUCACCUUAUUACUUUCUUCCCAGAACUUGUUUUUUGUCUGUCUGCCAGAGGAUCUGGUCGAUCUUGGUCCCUGCUGUAUCCCCAGCACCCAGACCAUUGCCCAGCACAUGAAAAAAUGGCAGAAAAAGGAAGCUGCAGCUUCUGCCCUUCUCUUGGAUCACUCACUCUGGGGCGAGCCCUCAACUGUAUCGUGAGAACACUUAAGAAACCCUGUGCAGACAUCCGCGUGGGGAAGAAGCAAGGCCUCCUGCUGACAGCUCUGCAUCAACCUGCUGGCCACGCGAGGGAGCCAUCUUGGAAGUGGAUCCUCCAGCCCCAGUCAAGCCUGCAGAUGAGUGCAGCCUCGGCCGGUGUCUCGAGUGCAACCUCAUCAGAGAGUCUGUCCAUGAACCACGCAGCUAAGCCACUCCCAAAUCCCUGAGCCACAGAAACUACGUGAAGAAAAACAGCCACUGCUACCCCUUCGAUGUCCCCAGAUUCGGCCUCCCCUACAAAUCUUCACACCUCUGCCUCCUUGAGCCCUCCAAAUAAAAGAAAC